CCUACGGGUGGCAGCAGUGAGGAAUAUUGGUCAAUGGGCGGGAGCCUGAACCAGCCAAGUCGCGUGAGGGAAGACGGUCCUAUGGAUUGUAAACCUCUUUAGGCGGGGAGCAAUGCCGGGCACGCGUGCCCGGCGGGAGAGUACCCGCAGAAUAAGCAUCGGCUAACUCCGUGCCAGCAGCCGCGGUAAUACGGAGGAUGCGAGCGUUAUCCGGAUUUAUUGGGUUUAAAGGGUGCGUAGGCGGAUGUUUAAGUCAGCGGUAAAAUGUCCGGGCUCAACCCGGGCCGGCCGUUGAAACUGGGGAUCUUGAGUGGGCGAGAAGUAUGUGGAAUGCGUGGUGUAGCGGUGAAAUGCAUAGAUAUCGCGCAGAACCCCGAUUGCGAAGGCAGUGUACCGGCUCCACACUGACGCUGAGGCACGAAAGCGUGGGUAUCGAACAGGAUUAGAUACCCCAGUAGUC
RNAcentral lists this ribosomal RNA (460 nucleotides) under uncultured bacterium. RNAcentral describes it as "partial 16S ribosomal RNA". It matches the Rfam family "Bacterial small subunit ribosomal RNA", at positions 338 to 795 of the family's 1533-position model. The record is from RNAcentral.